UUUUUUAAAAACAAAUUAUUUCUUCUUAUCCUCUCAAAAAUCUUCUCUUCUCUCACAUGAUAGAAACCUUAGCUGCUCCCUACUUCCAAGUCGCAACCAACUACUCUUAUGCCUUCUUCGGCCUUUAAUACCAUUGUUGAAAGAAAAUCCUUUCUCUCCUAUCUUUUUUUUUCGCUAGUCUAGAUUUCUCAAAACACACACACACACACACGAAUAUCUAGACAAAGCUUCAAACUUCCCAAGCCUAGAUAUCCUCUACAAUUCGUCUUAUCGGUUCUGGUUUCGAGCUAUGUCGCUCCUAACAUUAGUGAUCAACUUCUGACUUUUCCAAUACUCAAUUUGACGCUUGAAGCUCGCCAAACCGAACUUUGGUUGACAGCUUAAGUGCUUUUAGAAAAAAGAAAUAAAGAAAGAGAAAGCAAAGAGAAAAAAAAAAAAAAAAAAGAGCAUUUGAUGGCCUUAGAGAGUGGAGAAGCAACUACGGCGGUAACAGCUCCAGUAAAAAGUGUAGGUGGCAAAAACUUAAAAAAAAAAAAAUGGGGCUAAGUUUCAUUUAGGGAUUUUGAAGGAAAAAAACAAAAAGGGGAGAAAAGAAGAUUAUAAGUAGUGGCUUUAUGUCGACCAAACAAUCACACUGGAGCUUAGAUAGAGGUGUCAGGUGUGGACUAGGGUUUGCAAGGGUUUGGUUAGAAGAAGCGGAGGAAGGGAGAGAGAGAGUAGAAAAUGAAAAAUGGAAAAAUAAACAAAGAAAUGGAUCGAAGGAAAAAAGACAUGAGAGGGAGGGAGAAGAAAAGAAUAAAUGAGAAAAAUAUAUAAAAUACAUAAAGAAAUAAGUGGUGGGGGC
This 844-nucleotide long non-coding RNA is filed under the name Gossypium raimondii (Peruvian cotton). Its description in RNAcentral is "long non-coding RNA (GRAI_LNC007170)". Lineage: Eukaryota; Viridiplantae; Streptophyta; Magnoliopsida; Malvales; Malvaceae. The record is from RNAcentral.